AUUUUAUCUUGAUGCAAAAUGGGCUUAAAGUGAGUGCAACGAUCAUGAAAACUUGCCCUAAAUGGAAAGUCAACCAUUUCCAAAUUAAGUAACUUUUCCAAUUCCUGAUUAAAUGGUGAAUCCAUCAUCCAACCUUGAUCAAAUUUCACAUGUAGGAUCCCCUAGGCAUGGAUUUUGAGAUUCCACUCUCAAAAUGUCAGGAGUUGACUUUUCUGGCCCCACAGUUGACUUUUCCCAAACUGUCU
This 245-nucleotide long non-coding RNA is filed under the name Lathyrus oleraceus (garden pea). RNAcentral's name for it is "Pisum sativum (pea) long non-coding RNA (PSAT_LNC006005)". The record is from RNAcentral. Lineage: Eukaryota; Viridiplantae; Streptophyta; Magnoliopsida; Fabales; Fabaceae.